UACGUAGGGUCCGAGCGUUGUCCGGAAUUACUGGGCGUAAAGAGCUCGUAGGUGGUUUGUCGCGUUGUUCGUGAAAACUCACAGCUUAACUGUGGGCGUGCGGGCGAUACGGGCAGACUAGAGUACUGCAGGGGAGACUGGAAUUCCUGGUGUAGCGGUGAAAUGCGCAGAUAUCAGGAGGAACACCGGUGGCGAAGGCGGGUCUCUGGGCAGUAACUGACGCUGAGGAGCGAAAGCGUGGGGAGCGAACAGG
Molecule: ribosomal RNA, 253 nt
Filed under: uncultured bacterium
Lineage: Bacteria
Description: partial 16S ribosomal RNA
Rfam family: Bacterial small subunit ribosomal RNA
Source: RNAcentral